Molecule: ribosomal RNA, 245 nt
Filed under: uncultured archaeon
Lineage: Archaea
Description: partial 16S ribosomal RNA
Rfam family: Archaeal small subunit ribosomal RNA
Source: RNAcentral
CACCAGCUCCACGAGUGGGGACCAGUAUUAUUGGGCCUAAAGCGUUCGUAGCCGGUUAUGUAAAUCCUUUGUGAAAUCGUUAGGCUCAACCUAACGGAUUGCAGAGGACACUGUAUAACUAGGGACUGGGAGGGGUUAGGAGUAUUUUAGGGGGAGCGGUAAAAUGUAAUAAUCCCUAAAAGACUACCAGUGGCGAAGGCGCCUAACCAGUACAGAUUCGACGGUGAGGAACGAAAGCUAGGGGA